This 513-nucleotide ribosomal RNA is filed under the name uncultured bacterium. Its description in RNAcentral is "bacterial SSU rRNA". It matches the Rfam family "Bacterial small subunit ribosomal RNA", at positions 15 to 518 of the family's 1533-position model. The record is from RNAcentral.
GAUCCUGGCUUAGGAUGAACGCUAGCUACAGGCUUAACACAUGCAAGUCGAGGGGCAGCAUGAGAUCAGCUUGCUGAUCUGAUGGCGACCGGCGCACGGGUGAGUAACGCGUAUCCAACCUUCCCUCUACUCAGGCAUAGCCCGGUGAAAACCGGAUUAACUCCUGAUAGUUUCACUAGAUGGCAUCUGACGGUGAAUAAAGCUCAGCGGUAAGGGAUGGGGAUGCGUCUGAUUAGCUUGUUGGCGGGGUAACGGCCCACCAAGGCGACGAUCAGUGGGGGUUCUGAGAGGAAGGUCCCCCACAUUGGAACUGAGACACGGUCCAAACUCCUACGGGAGGCAGCAGUGAGGAAUAUUGGUCAAUGGGCGGAAGCCUGAACCAGCCAAGUAGCCGUGCAGGAAGACGGCCCUAUGGGUUGUAAACUGCUUUUGUGCGGGAAUAAAGUCAGGGACGUGUCCCUGUUUGCAUGUACCGUAAGAAUAAGGACCGGCUAAUUCCGUGCCAGCCGCAGC